RNAcentral lists this transfer RNA (68 nucleotides) under Tenebrionoidea sp. 17 KM-2017. RNAcentral describes it as "tRNA-His". The record is from RNAcentral. Lineage: Eukaryota; Metazoa; Arthropoda; Insecta; Coleoptera.
AUUUAAAUAGUUUAAUAAAAAUAUUGGUUUGUGGGACCAAAGAUAUAGUAUAAUAAUUAUUUUAAAUA